Molecule: ribosomal RNA, 550 nt
Filed under: uncultured bacterium
Lineage: Bacteria
Description: bacterial SSU rRNA
Rfam family: Bacterial small subunit ribosomal RNA
Source: RNAcentral
AAUAGAUACCCAGGUAGUCCACGCCGUAAACGAUGAUUACUAGGUGUGGGGGGACUGACCCCUUCCGUGCCGCAGUUAACACAAUAAGUAAUCCACCUGGGGAGUACGGCCGCAAGGUUGAAACUCAAAGGAAUUGACGGGGGCCCGCACAAGCAGUGGAGUAUGUGGUUUAAUUCGAAGCAACGCGAAGAACCUUACCAGGUCUUGACAUCACGUGACGAACUAAGAGAUUAGUUCUCCCUUCGGGGCACAAAGACAGGUGGUGCAUGGUUGUCGUCAGCUCGUGUCGUGAGAUGUUGGGUUAAGUCCCGCAACGAGCGCAACCCUUACCAUUAGUUGCUACGCAAGAGCACUCUAAUGGGACUGCCGUUGACAAAACGGAGGAAGGUGGGGAUGACGUCAAAUCGAUCAUGCCCCUUAUGACCUGGGCUACACACGUACUACAAUGGCAAUUAAACAGAGGGAAGCAAAACAGCGAUGUUAAAGCAAAUCCCGAAAAUUGUCUCAGUUCGGAUUGUAGGCUGCAACUCGCCUACAUGAAGCCGGAAUU